This 371-nucleotide ribosomal RNA is filed under the name uncultured bacterium. RNAcentral describes it as "bacterial SSU rRNA". It matches the Rfam family "Bacterial small subunit ribosomal RNA", at positions 527 to 896 of the family's 1533-position model. The record is from RNAcentral.
GUAGGUGGCAAGCGUUGUCCGGAAUUAUUGGGCGUAAAGCGCGCGCAGGCGGUCUUUUAAGUCUGAUGUGAAAGCCCCCGGCUCAACCGGGGAGGGUCAUUGGAAACUGGAGGACUUGAGUGCAGAAGAGGAGAGCGGAAUUCCACGUGUAGCGGUGAAAUGCGUGGAGAUGUGGAGGAACACCAGUGGCGAAGGCGGCUCUUUGGUCCGUAACUGACGCUGAGGCGCGAAAGCGUGGGGAGCAAACAGGAUUAGAUACCCUGGUAGUCCACGCCGUAAACGAUGAGUGCUAAGUGUUAGAGGGUUUCCGCCCUUUAGUGCUGCAGCAAACGCAUUAAGCACUCCGCCUGGGGAGUACGGCCGCAAGGCUG